AGUGAACGCUGGUGGCGUGCUUAACACAUGCAAGUCGAACGAGAAACGGAUUUAGCUUGCUAAAUUGCAGUCUAAGUGGCGCACGGGUGAGUAAUGUAUAGGUAAUAUGCCUCUUACUAAGGGAUAACAAUUGGAAACGAUUGCUAAUACCUUAUAUGCCUUUAAUACGAAAGUAUGCAAGGGAAAGAUUUAUUGGUAAGAGAUUAACCUGUAUGGUAUCAGCUUGUUGGUGAGGUAAUGGCUCACCAAGGGUAUGACGCCUAACUGGUUUGAGAGGAUGAUCAGUCACACUGGAACUGAGACACGGUCCAGACUCCUACGGGAGGCAGCAGUGGGGAAUAUUGCACAAUGGACGAAAGUCUGAUGCAGCAACGCCGCGUGGAGGAUGACACAUUUCGGUGCGUAAACUCCUUUUAUAUAGGAAGAUAAUGACGGUACUAUAUGAAUAAGCACCGGCUAACUCCGUGCCAGCCGCCGCAGUAA
RNAcentral lists this ribosomal RNA (483 nucleotides) under uncultured bacterium. RNAcentral's name for it is "partial 16S ribosomal RNA". It matches the Rfam family "Bacterial small subunit ribosomal RNA", at positions 29 to 523 of the family's 1533-position model. The record is from RNAcentral.